Molecule: ribosomal RNA, 253 nt
Filed under: uncultured bacterium
Lineage: Bacteria
Description: partial 16S ribosomal RNA
Rfam family: Bacterial small subunit ribosomal RNA
Source: RNAcentral
UACGUAGGGGGCAAGCGUUAUCCGGAUUUACUGGGUGUAAAGGGAGCGUAGACGGCGAUGCAAGCCAGAUGUGAAAGCCCGGGGCUCAACCCCGGGACUGCAUUUGGAACUGUAUAGCUAGAGUGCCGGAGAGGCAGGCGGAAUUCCUAGUGUAGCGGUGAAAUGCGUAGAUAUUAGGAGGAACACCAGUGGCGAAGGCGGCCUGCUGGACGAUGACUGACGUUGAGGCUCGAAAGCGUGGGGAGCAAACAGG